CCUACGGGUGGCAGCAGUGAGGAAUAUUGGUCAAUGGCCGGAAGGCUGAACCAGCCAAGCCGCGUGAGGGAGGAAGGCGCAGAGCGUCGCAGACCUCUUUUGCCGGGGGACAAAAGGCCGGCCGGGUCCGGUUCUGAGGGUACCCGGCGAAAAAGCAUCGGCUAACUCCGUGCCAGCAGCCGCGGUAAUACGGAGGAUGCGAGCGUUAUCCGGAUUCAUUGGGUUUAAAGGGUGCGCAGGCGGGCAUUUAAGCCGGCGGUGACAUCGCGGGGCUCAACCCCGCCGCGCCGUCGGAACUGGGGGCCUUGAGUGCGGCGGAGGCAUGCGGAAUGCGGGGUGUAGCGGUGAAAUGCAUAGAUAUAGCGAAGAACCCCGAUGGCGAAGGCAGCGUGCCGGGCCGCCACUGACGCUGAGGCACGAAAGCGCGGGGAUCGAACAGGAUUAGAUACCCCAGUAGUC
Molecule: ribosomal RNA, 459 nt
Filed under: uncultured bacterium
Lineage: Bacteria
Description: partial 16S ribosomal RNA
Rfam family: Bacterial small subunit ribosomal RNA
Source: RNAcentral